RNAcentral lists this ribosomal RNA (440 nucleotides) under uncultured bacterium. Its description in RNAcentral is "partial 16S ribosomal RNA". It matches the Rfam family "Bacterial small subunit ribosomal RNA", at positions 338 to 795 of the family's 1533-position model. The record is from RNAcentral.
CCUACGGGAGGCAGCAGUGGGGAAUAUUGCACAAUGGGGGAAACCCUGAUGCAGCGACGCCGCGUGAGUGAAGAAGUAACUCGGUAUGUAAAGCUCUAUCAGCAGGGAAGAAAAUGACGGUACCUGAGUAAGAAGCCCCGGCUAACUACGUGCCAGCAGCCGCGGUAAUAAGGAGGGGGCAAGCGUUAUCCGGAUUUACUGGGGGUAAAGGGAGCGUAGGCGGGAGGACAAGGCUGGAGUGAAAGGCGGGGGCUCAACCCCUGGAGUGCUGUGGAAACUGUACGGCUGGAGUGCAGGAGAGGUAAGUGGAAUGCGUGGUGUAGCGGUGAAAUGCGUAGAUAUUAGGAAGAACACCGGUGGCGAAGGCAGCUUACUGGACUGUAACUGACGUUGAGGCUCGAAAGCGUGGGGAGCGAACAGGAUUAGAUACCCUAGUAGUC